Molecule: long non-coding RNA, 771 nt
Organism: Antechinus flavipes (yellow-footed antechinus)
Lineage: Eukaryota; Metazoa; Chordata; Mammalia; Dasyuromorphia; Dasyuridae
Exons: 4
Source: RefSeq, a predicted model, not a curated record
UGAACUCUUGGAAAGAAAGGGUGUGAUGGGCCUGCAUUUGGCUCUGAAACAAGCCGCUUGCCCUUCUCUUCCCAGCUCACCCCCUCCUCCUGCCUCCAACUAAAAUGCAGCUCUAGCUUUUGAGAUGAAAUGAACAACUAUUUCAUAGAGCACAUCACACCCCACAUCUAUUUCCCAGACAGAAAAUGAAGAAGACCAUUUGAGCCAGAUGAAACUUCGUUAUUGCCCGGUAAAUUUACGCAGGCAGAAGACAUUUCCCCUGAAGGAAGAACAACAACUCCAUAACAGGCAUAAGCAGAGACUCAACAACAACAACAACAACAACAAAAGAUUUUCUACAGGACUACACAAAUAUCUAGAAGAAAUGAAGCAAUAAUAAAAACCUUCCCCACAAAGUUAUGGAAAUAAAAGCAAGCAGAAUAAAUAGCUCUGAAGAAAAGGUCAGUCCAAUUACGCCAUCAUUAGAAGCCUUUCAAUUUCCAUUGCUGAGUCACCCUUCUUUUGAAAACCUACCCUGACCUUCUCAGGAUGCAGGUAGAUUUGAUUCAACAUUCCAUGUAUUGUCUACAGUGUGGUAAACAGAUAUCAUUUUGCAAUCGACAUCCUAAAGUCUUCAUGUACUAACUCUAGUUCCUGACUAUGUUAACACUCUGCAACCUUGCUACUUGAGACAACAUAUCAAAACCUAUGGGAUACAGCAAAAACAACGAUUAGAGGAAAAUUUAUAUUUCUAAAUACUUAUAUCAAUAAAAUAGAGAAAAAAUAAACUAA